CUCAUGGGCAGCAGAGUACCCCAAGUGUCUUCAAGGCAAACGAACAACCUCAUGAAUUGGUGAGCAAUCAGUUCGUCAAGAGGGUUUAUUUUGUGCAAAAUAAGGAAGCAGAGAUUUUACCAGACGCCAAGAGGUGCCAGGCAUGCUUGCACUGUUACUGCAAGAGUGUGCACCAGACAAGGGUGCUCCUGUCCUGUCCUAAAAUGCUAUCCUUAUUCAACUGAAAAAGCUUCAGCAAUUGUCAGCUGAUUAAGACCAGCUCUGGGGUUCAGACAUUAAGCGGUUCCCUGACGUGUUCUUCUUUUGCUGUAUCGAUCACCUAAAAUCGCCCCCCACUGCGAGGAAGCGUGGGGAGUUCUGCUGAAGCAGCGGGUGGGCAAUGCGAGCAGGCCAGCCAGCGAGUCGUUCAUGUUGAGACGCGGACGCGUGCUACGGAGGCGGGGCUUUGCUGCAGAUGCGUUUCCCAGGCGGAACAGCUAAAGAAACAGUCCCGUCGACAAGGUGCUGACCUC
Lepisosteus oculatus (spotted gar) is the source of this 512-nucleotide non-coding RNA. The record is from RefSeq and is a predicted model, not a curated record. Lineage: Eukaryota; Metazoa; Chordata; Actinopteri; Semionotiformes; Lepisosteidae.